This 529-nucleotide ribosomal RNA is filed under the name Punctulariopsis obducens. RNAcentral's name for it is "eukaryotic LSU rRNA". It matches the Rfam family "Eukaryotic large subunit ribosomal RNA", at positions 65 to 595 of the family's 3401-position model. Lineage: Eukaryota; Fungi; Basidiomycota; Agaricomycetes; Corticiales; Punctulariaceae. The record is from RNAcentral.
CUAACAGGAUUCCCCUAGUAACUGCGAGUGAAGCGGGAAGAGCUCAAAUUUAAAAUCUGGCGGUCUACGGUCGUCCGAGUUGUAAUCUAGAGAAGUGUUUUCCGUGUCGGACCGUGUACAAGUUUCUUGGAACAGAACAUCAUAGAGGGUGAGAAUCCCGUCUUUGACAUGGACUACCGAUGCUUUGUGAUGCACUCUCGAAGAGUCGCGUUGUUUGGGAAUGCAGCGCAAAAUGGGUGGUGAAUUCCAUCUAAAGCUAAAUAUUGGCGAGAGACCGAUAGCGAACAAGUACCGUGAGGGAAAGAUGAAAAGCACUUUGGAAAGAGAGUUAAACAGUACGUGAAAUUGUUGAAAGGGAAACGCUUGAAGUCAGUCGCGUCUUGCGGAACUCAGCCUUGCUUCUGCUUGGUGUAUUUUCUGUUUGACGGGCCAGCAUCAAUUUYGACCGUUGGAAAAAGUGURGGGGAAUGUGGCAUCCUCGGAUGUGUUAUAGCCCUUGCUCGCAUACAMCGGUUGGGAUUGAGGACCG